RNAcentral lists this unclassified non-coding RNA (260 nucleotides) under uncultured fungus. RNAcentral describes it as "partial contains small subunit ribosomal RNA, internal transcribed spacer 1, and 5.8S ribosomal RNA". The stretch from base 1 to 73 matches the Rfam family "Eukaryotic small subunit ribosomal RNA", at positions 1759 to 1831 of the family's 1831-position model. Lineage: Eukaryota; Fungi. The record is from RNAcentral.
GCAAACUUGGUCAUUUAGAGGAAGUAAAAGUCGUAACAAGGUUUCCGUAGGUGAACCUGCGGAAGGAUCAUUACAAGAAGCGGUGCCUUCGGGCCCGAUCUUCCAACCACUGCGUACGAAAUUAGUUGCCUCGGCGGCCUCGCGUCGCCGACGGAAACAUCAUGACAACUUUGUUUGAAUACUGUCUAUACCUCGCGAAUGCGAAAAGUACAACUUUCAACAAUGGAUCUCUUGGCUCCGGCAUCGAUGAAGAACGCAGC